CGGGGCGUGGCUCAGCCUGGUAGAGCGCUGCGUUCGGGACGCAGAGGUCGCUAGUUCAAAUCUAGUCGCCCCGA
RNAcentral lists this transfer RNA (74 nucleotides) under Rhodopirellula sp. RNAcentral's name for it is "tRNA-Pro". It matches the Rfam family "tRNA". From Rfam's summary of the family: Transfer RNA (tRNA) molecules are approximately 80 nucleotides in length. Their secondary structure includes four short double-helical elements and three loops (D, anti-codon, and T loops). RNAcentral also lists the same sequence under 6 other names. The record is from RNAcentral. Lineage: Bacteria; Pseudomonadati; Planctomycetota; Planctomycetia; Pirellulales; Pirellulaceae.